Molecule: long non-coding RNA, 936 nt
Organism: Orbicella faveolata
Lineage: Eukaryota; Metazoa; Cnidaria; Anthozoa; Scleractinia; Merulinidae
Source: RefSeq, a predicted model, not a curated record
GUAGUCUUACGACAAGGCCAAAGGAAGAAAAUAAACAAAAAACAAAACAGUUAUAAGCUCCAUAUUGUUAUAACGUGCCAUUCUUUUGUUAAAUAUACUGAGUAAAAACGGGCUGGUAAAUUAAAUCUAAUAGGUUUAGGGCAAGGGAUGCCACUGUAUCAAAGUGAAAGGUAACAGUCAAUCUGCCCUUUCGAACGCGGCCUUCGAGUGUUUGGCAGCAACGUCUGUGCUCUAAGGCAGGUCGGACACACGGCUAUAUAUACUUAAGAAUCUGUAAAAUUGGUGUCGUUUUUGGUUGCAUACAGCAUUAUAACGGAAAUCGCGCACAGGAGCGCCAGUAUCUUCUUCAGACGCCUUCCCUCACUAUCUACGGCGCAUUUUACUUGAUUGAUAACUUUCGUUGUCUGUCCCUAGCGGAGAGUCUAACGUAACAAAACGCUUGAUUUCGUCAGUGGAGCAGGGAUCCCUGAGAUAGAAUUAACUGACGCUGUGUCGUAAAAUCACCGAGGAAACAUUUUUAGAAGGUUGAUGUACGAAGAGCUAAACAAAGGGACAAUUGUAUUGCUUGUAUAAUAUAGGUCAACUACCAUACAAAGGAGUCAAAGGACUUGUUGAGCUUUACACCAAGCUCAAAGGCGGAGUGCGACUGGAAAAACCUCCCCAGUGCUCUGAAGAACUGUAUAGGGUGAUGUCGCUUUGUUGGAAGAGUUUCCCAGAGGAUCGCCUCACAUUCAAAGAACUUCAUUUGAGGCUUCACGAGAUAUUGCACACCAAAGCGAGGACCUAUAUCAACGUUCAAUAUUUUGGAGAAAGGCGUAUGGCAAUCGGCGAGGACGUCGUUUAACGUUAACGGAGAAAAUCUGUUACUUGACUAAACUCCCUAUCCCAGGAACAAGAAAAACUAAAUAAAUUACUAUAUUUAGAGAGGAAGCCACA